UGCCGCCCAUCUUUCCCCAGCGUACCUUCGGAACCUCUCUGCCCUGGGAACAUUUACAGUGCUUUCCACUUUCGUGGGCAUAUUCUACUUUCCUUCCGCUGCCAAACACAUUCAGUGCCACCGUCUACGCCAUGGGACAUCAGCCACAGCCGCACGUCAUUCCAGCAGUGACCCCAGUCAAUGCAGCUCCUGGCUGUCUAUGCUGACAAGACUAGUCCAAAGCACAGCUAUUUUUUUCCGCCUUUUCCAGUCAUAUGAUGAUUUGUUCAUUGCAGGACUGCUUCAGUUCCUUCAUCAUGCAGCUCAUGUCACUACCCGACACGGUGUGGGACUGCUAGUCCAGGGCUGAUUUUGACUGAGUCCUUGGGCUUGAAGACUCAUGGGCAUUGCUGAGAUUGCACCUUUGAGAGAAGAGUCUUUCUGAUGGUCCUGCUCUGCUCCACCUGACCCUAUGAAAGGAGGGUUCACCAUAGCUCUGUCCUUGGCGCUCCAGCUCCACAAGAUGGGCUCGUUCAGGAGGCCUCGACCUCGCUUCAUGAGCUCCCCUGUGCUCAGCGAUCUGCCUCGCUUCCAGGCAGCCCGGCAGGCGAUGCAGCUCAGCUCCAACUCUGCCUGGAACAGCGUACAAACAGCAGUGAUAAAUGUGUUCAAAGGGGGAGGCUUGCAGAACAAUGAACUUUACACCCUCAAUGAAAAUAUCAGACGGCUGCUGAAGAGUGAACUUGGAUCCUUCAUCACUGAUUACUUUCAGAACCAGCUCCUUGCAAAAGGCUUGCUGUUUAUGGAGGAGAAGGUCAAGCUGUGUGAAGGUGAGGAUCGCAUUGAUGUCCUGUCUGAAAUCUGGGAUCACUAUUUUACAGAGACUCUUCCUACACUCCAGGCAAUAUUCUACCCAGUCCAGGGUCAGGAGCUGACUAUCCGUCAGAUUGCUCUUCUUGGCUUCAGAGACUUGGUCUUGCUAAAAGUAAAGUUGGAAGAAAUUCUUCCCCUGGUCCAGACAAAGGUUCCAGCUUCCAUUGUCCAGAUGCUGUUAAUUCUGCAGAGUGUCCAUGAACCUACUGGCCCCACUGAGGGCUACCUACAGCUGGAAGAACUGGUCAAGCAGGUGGUAUCACCAUUCUUAGGUUUGUGUGAGGAUCACAGCUCUUCUGGUAGCACCUGCUUGCUUGAGAGACGGUACUCCAGAUCCCGUCCCAAGGCCCUGACCCCCCUGACGGAGCAGGAGGGCGAGGCUUACCUGGAGAAGUGUGGCAGCAUCCGUCGGCACACGGUAGCCAACGCUCACUCGGAUAUCCAGCUGCUGGCCAUGGCCUCCAUGAUGCACACGGGCAUGGUGGCAGAGGAAUCGGACACUCCUGACAAAUGCCUGCUGCUGCAGCCCAGCUGCUUCGGCCACAGGCAGUGCUCCAGCGAGCCCAGCAUUGCCGAUGGCCCCGAGGGAGGGGUGGCAGCAGCCAGCAGGCAGGACCCUGCCGAGCUCAACUGCACCUCUGUCAGCUAGGAGGAGGCUGGCUGGGGAGUGGAGAACUGCAUGCACCGAGCUGGACAGAGAGUGGUGUGUCAUCCCUGCCGGGGAAAAAAAAGAAAGAAAUAGGAAUUUUGGUCAUGUCAUUGAAAUGGGCUCGAGAAUGCUCUCUAGAUAUGUUCUUUUGCCAGUCUGGGAUCAUUGUUGCUGGAGGUACCAGGCUGCUCCCAAAUGACCACUGAGGGCUGCAAAGGUUUUGCUGUUGAACAGCACAGUCUGCCUUCUGUAAGCUUUCUCCCUCUACUGGUAUAACCUUUCUGGCAUCAGGUUUCCUUCUUUCUCUUUAGUAUGAUACAAACGGAGUUCCUUCUGUUUUUCUCCAUCUUUUCCAGUUGUGCUUCUUCUCUGUUCUUUGUCCCUGCAGAGGAGGUCUCUGUGCUCAGUGUUCUCUUUGCUUCUGGUGCUAGCAUGGUGAAUGCUGAGCACUUAAUUUCUCUUCUAAAGUUGAACUCAGGGAUGAAAUCAUUUGCAUCCUGCAGAAAGAUCUGCUGGGGUGGCUUGUGAGAGGAGGACGUCCUUCAUUUGCUUCCCAUAUGGGCAUGGAUGAGAAGUCCAAAUCAGAAUUAAUCAGACUUAUUUUUAAUCAGACUUAUUUUUUUUCCCAGGCCCAAAGAGAACCAAGCAUACAUGGAGUCUGAACUGAGUACUUCAUAUGUACUUUAUUUGGUUCCAGUCAUAUCUUGGGAGUUCUGGUGUAAAUUGGGUGCAAAAUAUACUGAGCAUCCUGGUAUUUGACAUCAGUUUGCUCUCAAAAUUUCAGUGGUGAUAGGGCUAUGAUGAAAGAGCAAAUCAAAUGCAAUGGAGAUGCUGCACUUGUAUAGGAGAUGUAAAGGUGCUGCUCAGCACUGGGCCGUGGUGACUCCAGAUCAGGGGGUGAUGAUCAGGAUCUCAUCCUGAGCCUACCCUGGCAAUUUUAGCCCUUGUGGAUUUCAUGAGAGCGAGGAUAAUCAGCAGGGUGUGGAAAGGAGUCCUGUCUCAGUGUAUUCAUGAAGUGCUCCUGACCUCCAGUGGUAUCUGACUCAGUGCAGUAUUGCUUUUAAAGUAAAGCAAGGGCUCUUUGCAGUCUUUGGGUUUGUUUUUGUUGUGAAGAUUAGGAGUGGGUCCAGUUUGCAGGUGUCUGUGUCAGGCACUGCACUCUGCAGUGUCUGCUUUGUAGCAUCACUUGGUACUCUAAUGCUGCUUCUGUGGGGACAGAUCCAAUCUGUUUGAGCUGUCCUCAGGAUACUCUGCUCACGUCUUGCUAAGCAGACUUGCAAGUGUAAUUACAGGCUUAGAGGUGAACUGCUGCCUUAAAUGUCAAAUCCCAUUAAAAAUAUGGACACAACACAACUACCACUUGAAUUUACUCCAAGUAGUACUGUAAAUAAGUGUGUCUUGACAAGGAAACAGAAGAUUAGGGUGAGCCUUCAGGGUGUUUUUUGCAUGCCAUGACAUUAACUGCAGAAUUUACCCUGCUUCUGUUGGGCAUUAAACAUCUGCUCCACUGGCUGCACUGGAAGUACAGCUCUGACCUGCCAGGAUUUGGCAUUAGUAGCACGUUCAGCAAAAGGAGAGCAGGUUAUUAUUUGGCAACAAAGCAUCAGAAAUACCAUCUAUGAGCACAAGCCAUGCUGCCUUGAUAAAUGAGGGUGUUGCUUUAUUUACUGUGGUUUGCAGUGUUGAGAAAGAUACUUGGAAGAGCCUCCUUUUUCUCCUUUUCCUUGGCCUUUGGGGAAGGGCCAAGUGUUUGGAUCCCCAGCUGUGCUUUGCAUGUCAGGAAAAGAGGUUCAGUUGUGCUGGCUGCCUCCUCCUCCUCCUCAGAGCUCCCCCAGUCCAGCAGAGGCCUGGAAGAUGUGCCUUUAAGCAGUGUUCCCUUCAGAUGCAUGAUAGGAUAAAUUGCUCUCCUGUUAUAAAUUGGACUGACCAGCCAGCUUACUGUCAUUUGCCCCAGGGCAGCCAUGGAUUGUGGUGGAGCUUCAGAAUCUCUUGGUGGCAGCCAAGCCAUGCUGGUCUCAGCUUGGCACAGAUGAUGGUGUCCUGCUCACAGUUAAUUUCUUUGGCCCCUUGCUGUGAUUUAAAGCCUUCUCUUAGCCACACUGAGGUGUGUGGAGAGGUGGCCACCCUGUAGCAUUUCAGUUCACUCUUAUGAAUGCUUGUCUUCUUUCUGCUUCUCCUGUAACCCAUUUGCCUUCUGUAACUACCCAAACCAUUUCGAUUAGAGAGCAGCACCCUCUUUUUAUGGUGAAAACUAGAAUGAUUUAUUUAUUUCCUGACAUAUUCUUGGAUCAUCUCUAGGACUAAUAGAAGUUAGUCCUGGUUUUAACUUGAAUUUAUUUUGUUUUACACAUAUGUAUGAUUUUAAUUAUUUUGGGUUUUUGUAUCUGUUACUUUGCAAAAAUUUGCACCAAACCCUCUGAAUCAUGCACUUGCCCCAUUGUUUUGUUUUUACAGAGAAUUAAAGCUGGUGGCUUUACUUUGUAAACGGAAGUAAACACAACUGUUCUGUAAACCACACCGAGUGUAUGGUCAUGAGCACCACAUUCACAGCCACGUGAGGUUGCACAAGCCUCUGCAAGUGCUUUUCUUGCACAGACUGGGGGACUCUGCAGGUGGCUGGAAAGCUGUGCCGUGGUGGCAGAGUGAGGCUGGCCUGGAAGGGUCCUGGGAGCAGCUCUGAGAGGCUGCUCUCUGCUGAGGAAGCUUCCAAACCUCUGGCAGCAAAGACUCUGUCCCUGUGCCCAAGCUGCAGCAUGAGCAGCACUUGCAUUUUGGUCACAGCAUUCUGUUUUGGGGUUGCACUGUGUUGCUGGCCAUGUCACACAGCUGUGACAGGGUCUCAGGGUGGGUCCUUUCUUCCCUCGUGGUCACCAGCUUGAGAAAACCUCCUGGAGGAGCUAUCAGAAUGGGAAGAAGGAGUUUCUCUCACACCUCCUGAAGUCUGUUACCUUCUACUUGGAUAAUGACCUAGACUGAGUCACUUUUCAUCACACUGAAUCUGUCUUCCCUUUUUACUCUGUCUUCUUAAGGUAAGCGAUUUAUUCUGUGUCCAUUAAAUUCUGUCAUAAACUUAUUGAUGGGGCUAUUCUUAGUAUCACUGGCCUUUUCUAUGAUAUUCCCCUUAGCCAAGCACGUGUUUUUGUUGGCAGAAAGCAGAGCUGCUUCUGGCCCUAGCCAUGUGGGCAACAACUUGGUUUAUUUUUUUCUUUUUAUUUUUUUUUUUUCAAUCGGAAGACUUGCAGUGUAUCUUGCUGCUGGCGCUGAUGGCAGCAGGGUGAACACUGCAGGGUUUGGAUUGCCCUUUCUUUGUAAGUCCAAAUGGCAAUGGGUUCACUUGGAAGGCCUUUUGGCACUUGCCACUGAGUCAACAGUUGGAAAAUACAUGGCUCUUAGAGGCAGCCUGUGUUCCCCAGAGAGGAGAAACUGCAGUUCUAGUGAGAGACAAACUGUGGUAUGUAUGGUCUGCUUAGUUAUGUGAACUUCCUAAUUUUGCUGUAGUCUCAGAGUAGCAAACUUCCCUAACAGGAUUCCCUGUUCCUUCCCAACCUGGCUCCUUCCCCAUGCCAGCAGCAGGACUCCUGGGCCUGGCAGAGUGCACCUCCCUCUCCCUGAAGGAGAGCUGUGUGUUAGACAAAGCCACAGGUGGGUGUCUGAGCUCCUGAAGGAGACCAGGCUGGCUGUGUUCCCUGGCUGCCCCUUCCCCCUUGGGACAGGUCUGCACAGAGCCAGCACCGCUUCCCACUCAGAGAAGCAGGUGAGAAAGCAAGACCCACCCUGGCAUGGAUUCCCCACAGGGCCCAGGGAGUUUCCCAGGGGUACCUGAGCUGGAAAUUCAGCCCACAAUCAACAUUCUCUGUAGGAAAGUCACUGCAAAUUUUCCUGUUAAUUAAAAGUGUGAAGAGCAGGGUAUUUGGUAUUUCCCGAGCGAAGAGGAGGUAAUUAGUCAUCCUAUUCAUAUUUCAAAUAUGGAAGGUGGAUCUGGCAGGACAACAGUAGGUUAAAUGGGAUAUUCUUGCUUGUCCACACAUUUGAGAGUGCUUUCUCUUCCCUCUGCUAUGCCAACAGCUACAGGUAAGGGCACCAAGCAUUCAGCUACGUAAACAAAAGCUUUAAAACAGAGGUAGCAGCUUUUAAAGCAACUUUGCUGCAAAGGUACAGCUCGUUCUCAUCAAUGUGGUGCUCAAAAUUGCAUGCUGUAAAAUAGCUGCCACUUGCCACCUGAGAAUUGGCUGCCUUUUAUUCAUUACUUGCAUCUGAAGGAGGAGCAGCUCAGAUGUUUGGGUGCAUUUCUCCAAGUGAUGAAAAGAAGUGACAACUCCAGUGCAGAAGUAAGUGAACUGAAAAUUGUCAUUAUUUAUCAACAGCUGCUUGCUGUGCAUGGCCAACACACUCUUGGGGCCAUAAAUAUGGGCAUGUGUGUAGGUGAGCCACCUGUAUGGGAGAGAGUAGUAAAGAAGGGGUACAUGGUUUAAAGGAAAUAGCUGACUAGACUAAUCUUCACCUGAACAAUUGGCAUAACAGAAGGUAGAGGCUUAAUUAUAGUUUGGUCACCAGGUUUUGCAAUGAGCAAAAGGAAAGCAAACUCCAUAAAUAAAAAGACAAUGGCUUGAAGGGUCCCACCUAGCCCAAACUCCUGCCAUAGCACAGAGCAGAUUUGCAGUAGCUAUGAAUUGCAAGAGUAUUCAGGAAGUUGCUGUUUGAAGUGUCUCUCAUUUGGCUUCAAAGCUAGUUCCCACUUAUGGCAAGAGCUAGUUGAUAAUUCUUGUGGCAUAAUUAUUGUAGACUGUGCAGUAACAACCUCUGUUACAUUGGAAAAUAGAUUGGAGUCAGAGAAUCAUUCUCUCUGACCUUGAAAUUUAUGAAGACAGCCACAGUGGCUCACACAGGAGUUUUUUGUGGUUGUUGCAUUUUUGUUUUGUUUUGUUUUACUUUUAUUUUCUUUUUAAAAAACUUUUUUUCUUUUUUUUAACUUGAAAGAGCGAGUUCUGUUAGAAUUGCUUGGGCUUCUUAAAGACAGACUAGUUACAAGGCACUCAGUCUUCAAGUCUUUACUGCAACAGGACUACCUAGAAGGUGACAGAAUUUAUUAAUAUUAAAUGUCAGUAAGAAACCACAGACUCUGUGCCAUGAAUCAUCUGCCCUUCAGACCUCUGAAACUGAUUCACACCUGUCACGGGUAAGCCAGCCAUGUUUUUCACAGGGGGUUUUUAAUCCCCUUCACACUAAAGGCUUAUUGACUAACAUAUCGAUGGUUCUUGGAGUAGAAGCUUGUACACCCUUGUCCCCUGUAUUUCUGUCUCAUGGCUUCACUGUGACAAGUGCUAAGCCUGUCUUUCUUCAGGCACAUCUCAGGCCAAUGGAUUGUGAUUUGCUGAGUGGUUGGAUAGAAGAGAUGAGAGGGUGGGAGAGGCUGUUCUGCAGGAGGGAACUGACAGUACGUGUGAAAAGUGCCUCUUAAGUGAUAUAUGCACUACAUCUACAAAAACACUCUCUAGUAUUUUAUUUUUGUGGGAAUGGGAGAGGAGUUCUGAUGUGCAUUCAGAACUUUGAAUCUCAGAGAUUUAGCACCACUGUCCAUUACAAGUUUGAGUGAAUGCAGAAGAUUUCUUGUGAUUUUCCCCCACCCUGUUGUUUUUUUCAGUAGACAGUGAUGGAUGGUGAUUACAGGCUGAGCAUCGCUGCGUUUGGUAGUGCAGAUGGAGCUCCUCCAGGUUCCUUCAUUCAGCCUGUCACUGAAUGUCAUCAGUCUCUCUUCUGGCUCCUAAAUGUUCAACAUCUCUCUUUCCUGAAAGCCCUGCGGCAGACUGGAGAGAUGCUGCCUGCUGGGUAUAAAGUCCUGGUUAAAUUCAGUGGCCCAUCCUCAACAGCACAGUGUUAAGGAACCUUUCCUGUCUGACCAUCCAGGAGCUGCUCUGGCAGUCACACUCCCACCCCCUGAGCUGUGGGAAACCCAUGACUGAACUGGUAAGGAAACCUUUUCUCUGACUGUGGGUGUGGGGUGUGCAGCAAUCCAAGGGAGACAUCCAUGGGGUCACUGGAGCUUUGUUCCAGCAGUGACAGUCUGGAGUGGUGGGAGUGUGACUGCCAGAGUGACUCCUGAAUGGUCACACAGGAAAGUUUCCUUAACAACUUCAGGGAAAAGGAGCUGCCACCGUCUAGUCAUUCCCCUGUCAGUGUCCUGUAGUCUUUGAAAUGUCCUGCUCUUUGAAAUCGAAGUGAAAGCUGCAGUAAAUGAGACCUUAGAGCAUUUGCCAUGAGCCUCCCCCUAGCUUAUUGAAAUGUAUGAGCUGGUGUGAAAAGGACACCCAUGCUUGUCAGGCAAACAAAAAAGCCCAUUUUCAAAAGCUUAUUUCUUUGGCUUAUUUCUUACCCAAUGCUUAAUCUAAUCCACUGUUUUUUUGCAUCAACAUAACUGUCUUCCUUUGCCUAGGAUUUACAGUGUGGAGAGGAAAUUGUUCAAGAUCUGGACCUCUCAUAUUUUUUCUUUUUUUCCCUGACUAAUUGUCGUGGUUAGCUGAUUGACUCACAGAGCCAGUGAUGCCUUCAGAGGGCAGCAGCAGCCUCUCUCCACUCCUUCUCUGGCUUGGAAGUGCUUACAAAGGCUCAGCUCAGCAUGAAAUAGAGUGAGGGUCCGUUCAGCAGCAGGCACUGCUGUUUGUAGGGACUAUGGAGAGAGCAGCAGAGCAGAACUAGGCCUUCGAGGGAGUGACUAUUUGCUUUUCAGAUAUGUUCUUCCUACAUUGUUUGUUAGGGAUUGCCCAUAUUGGGGGAGCUUCCAAUGGGCUUUUGAGAGUCUUAGGGGAAAGCAAAUUUGUGCCUGUGUCUUACCCUCCAAGGCUGCCCUGCCUUGCCCAGCCCUACCUGGGGCAGGGGCACUGCUCGGCUGCGUCCCUGCUGUGUGCACUGGGUGCUGUGGGGUCUCUGGCUCGGCUUGUACCUGGUGUUACUGCAGAAAAUGUGCGUUUGGCAGGAGGAGGAGAGCAGAACCCAUGGGCCAAGCCCUGAAAGUCUUUCUUGCAGUGAGGGGUCCAAAACUGAACACAGGAUUAGAGGUGCAGCUCAAAGGAACUAUGAGUAAGUACAGUUCCCUGGGAGAAAGGCAUACCCAUGCUUUUACCCCUUCUCAUUUUGGGAAGGACAUGUGAUGGUGUUGGAUGCAAGUUCUGGCUCAGAAACCUGGGGACAGUUGGACUGGACUGGGGCAAUUUUCGUUAGAAUUUAUUUUUCUUAUCUUUAUACAUUAUUAUGUAUUAUAGAUUAUCUAUUUACAAUAUACAUUUGUAUAUAUUUAAUACAGUACAUCAAUAUAAUACUACAUUUAAUAAUUUAAAACAUGUUUUUUAUGUAUAUAAUAUGCUUUUUAAUUUUUGUAUUGGGUUUGUUAUAAUUACUUUAUUUAUCUGAGACUAUUACAACUUGACUGAGAAUAUACAGGAACCAGAAUAGGCAGAGGUUAAAAUAUGGCUCCUUUGCAUUCACACCUUGGUUUCCACUGCUGUUUGAAAGCAGCCAAGGAACCAAGAAAUCCUCUGUGGCUGGUCAUUGCUGUCCUGGGUGUUUGGUGGUCUGACCUCCCUUUUCCCAACACUACUGAUUUGCCUUUCAGGAUAAUUACAUUUCUACCCCUAUAAAUUCUAAAUCCCUUCCAUUGCCAGAGGAUCCAAAAGCAUGCACUGUGCAGACCAGCAAGAUGAACUUAAAAUAUUCAGUCCUUGCAUUUUAUCUAGAAGGAUGAGUAGAGGCACAUGCCUGUAUAAAGGACUUCUGGAUGAAGAAACUCAAGUUCAGGGAGUUGUUUCUAGAAGGUGAAUCACACUGGAGGCACUUGCUUAGGCAAGUCUAAACUCCUCACCGUGAAGUUUAUCACAUCUGGGUGUGAUACUGAAACUAGGAACACUUGUAUGUGUCACUUUUCCCUGGCAGUGCCUUUGCUCCUUAACACUGUUAACAAAGGCCAAGGUCAUACCUGGCUGAAACUAUUCCUUUAUUAAAGGCAGCAACAGAAAGUUAAAUCUUGGAGAGAAACAAGUCCAUGCAGGCAGGAAUACCAGAAUGUAAAUACAAAUGCUAACUUGAGCAUACUGUUGUAAGAUUUAACAGGCCAAACUCCUGAACUUCACACCUUCACCUGACACCUGCUGUGCAAGUUGCUAAUACUGGUCUGUAGCAGGAGUGAGGACUCUGCACAUCAGGUAAGACAAGAAAAGAAGCUGCAGCAUCUCCAGGAAAACAACAAAAUUUAAAUUCCCCAGAAAAGGCUGGGAACAACUUCUUACUAAAGGCCAAGACCAGCACUUCAAAUUUUGGAGCAAUUUUGAGUAAAGCACAUGAAGUAUUUCAACAGUAUAUACAGUGAGAAAUAAGAACAUAUUUCAAACUGUGCACCUGAAGGUAAAAGCAAGAUAUGAAGAACUAUAGAGUGUUUUAUACUGAAAACAUUCUUGUCAAAUAUCACAAAGACAAGCACUGUGUAUUCAGGGUCACCUUCUUGUUAAUGAGCAUUCAUGAUAAAAAAAAGGUUUUGUAGGAGUGAUAAUUUGCCUAUGAAAUCAUCAUUAAUUAUGUUCAUUAAUUCAGUAACACUGUUCAAUUCAAGACAAAGACAUGGUGAAACUGUAAUAAAUAUAUUUAGAAUUUU
Catharus ustulatus (Swainson's thrush) is the source of this 10139-nucleotide RNA transcript. It is a transcript of the gene named proline rich 5 like, with no coding region annotated. The transcript has 10 exons. NCBI's taxonomy places the organism in Eukaryota, Metazoa, Chordata, Aves, Passeriformes, Turdidae. The record is from RefSeq and is a predicted model, not a curated record.